This 468-nucleotide ribosomal RNA is filed under the name uncultured bacterium. Its description in RNAcentral is "partial 16S ribosomal RNA". It matches the Rfam family "Bacterial small subunit ribosomal RNA", at positions 28 to 507 of the family's 1533-position model. The record is from RNAcentral.
GACGAACGCUGGCGGCGUGCUUAACACAUGCAAGUCGAACGGAAAGGCCCUGCUUUUGUGGGGUGCUCGAGUGGCGAACGGGUGAGUAACACGUGAGUAACCUGCCCUUGACUUUGGGAUAACUUCAGGAAACUGGGGCUAAUAUCGGAUAGGAGCCCCUGCUGCAUGGAGGGGGUUGGAAAGUUUCGGCGGUUGGGGAUGGACUCGCGGCUUAUCAGCUUGUUGGUGGGGUAGUGGCUUACCAAGGCUUUGACGGGUAGCUGGCAUGAGAGGGUGACCGGCCACAUUGGAACGGAGAUACGGCCCAGACUCCUACGGGAGGCAGCAGUGGGGAAUAUUGGACAAUGGGCGGAAGCCUGAUGCAGCAACGCCGCGUGCUGGAUGACGGCCUUCGGGUUGUAAACCGCUUUCGCCGGUGACGAAGCGUGAGUGACGGUAAUGGGUAAAAAAGCACCGGCUAACUACGUG